ACUUUUUAAAUAUUUUAUCCCCAAGCCCCAACUAUCAAGUACAGCUGUUAUUUUGCUGCCAAGAACUAAACACAUUAAACAUGCUUAACAAGUUAGCUAAAUGUUUAUUGGACAAACAAGCGUUUCAAAAGAGUGACCUCCAAUUGCAAAGUCCUUGGGCUGGUGGGAUCAGCACAGGCCAGUCGGAAAGCCUCAACGGACCGGAAGCCCCAAAAAAAAUUACAACUGACUAAAGCCAAUGGACGAAAAGUUAGACGAAGCGUAAAAGCGACAGAAACUAAAAAAAACCAAAAGCAACCAAUAAAACUGGCACUAGUUCUGUAUGUGAGGUGGGUGUGUGUGUGUGUGUGGGGUAGGGUUAGGGUUAGGGGUACUUAAACAUUUGUCUGCCCAAUUUAACUAGUGCGCUAAGCAAAUAAAGUGCCAGUCGUGGUGUUUGACGGUUGGUUAGUUGGACGAUUGGACGGUUGGACGGCUGGACGGUCGGUUAGCGGGCUCCCAGAUGUCCACUGUAAUGGAGCACUAAAUCUAUAUGCUGACACAGAUCCAGAUAGAGAUCUAUGAAUAGCACGCAAACAAACAAGAUGCAGUCGAGCUAGGCGUUUAUUAUUGUUCGCCGCUGAAGCGUCACACGGGACCUGGUACGCGGGCUGCGGGACAUGGGCAUCAUCAACAGCGCAUCACACAGGCACUCGACCACCAAGCGGAAGUCAAAACAAUGAGGACCACCCAACGGAAGCUGCACACAAAAGCAGCAAGGAGCCCGAGGAGCAGAAGGAAGGAAAGGAAAGCAUUUAGAAGCCAACAAAAGGCGGAAAGCGUGACAUUUUGUUCUGGGAAUAAACGAGGGUCGUGCUGUUUUGAAU
This is a non-coding RNA of Drosophila virilis, 866 nucleotides long. Lineage: Eukaryota; Metazoa; Arthropoda; Insecta; Diptera; Drosophilidae. The record is from RefSeq and is a predicted model, not a curated record.